Molecule: ribosomal RNA, 492 nt
Filed under: uncultured bacterium
Lineage: Bacteria
Description: partial 16S ribosomal RNA
Rfam family: Bacterial small subunit ribosomal RNA
Source: RNAcentral
AUUGAACGCUGGCGGCAUGCUUUACACAUGCAAGUCGAACGGUAACAGGCCUUCGGGUGCUGCCGAGUGGCGAACGGGUGAGUAAUGCAUCGGAACGUGCCCAGAGGUGGGGGAUAACGCAGCGAAAGCUGUGCUAAUACCGCAUGUGAUCUGAGGAUGAAAGCAGGGGACCAGGCAGCAAUGUUUGGCCUCGCGCCUUUGGAGCGGCCGAUGUCAGAUUAGGUAGUUGGUGGGGUAAAGGCCUACCAAGCCGACGAUCUGUAGCUGGUCUGAGAGGACGACCAGCCACACUGGGACUGAGACACGGCCCAGACUCCUACGGGAGGCAGCAGUGGGGAAUUUUGGACAAUGGGCGCAAGCCUGAUCCAGCAAUGCCGCGUGCGGGAAGAAGGCCUUCGGGUUGUAAACCGCUUUUGUACGGAACGAAAAGGCUCUGGCUAAUACCUGGGGCUGAUGACGGUACCGUAAGAAUAAGCACCGGCUAACUACGUG